UACGGGGGGGGGCAAGCGUUGUUCGGAAUUACUGGGCGUAAAGGGCUCGUAGGCGGCCAACUAAGUCGGACGUGAAAUCCCUCGGCUUAACCGGGGAACUGCGUCCGAUACUGGAUGGCUAGAGUUCGGGAGAGGGAUGCGGAAUUCCAGGUGUAGCGGUGAAAUGCGUAGAUAUCUGGAGGAACACCGGUGGCGAAGGCGGCAUCCUGGACCGACACUGACGCUGAGGAGCGAAAGCCAGGGGAGCAAACGGGG
Molecule: ribosomal RNA, 255 nt
Filed under: uncultured bacterium
Lineage: Bacteria
Description: partial 16S ribosomal RNA
Rfam family: Bacterial small subunit ribosomal RNA
Source: RNAcentral